UUUCAUCCAUUGCUAACCCCGUUGAGCUUGUACGCCUUUGUUUGUGUAAACCAUCAUGUUAACCAUAAUCCAUACACUUCCUACCCUCGCUCGGCAUGACUAUUGUAGUGUAAAAUUUGUGCAAAAAGAUAAGUUUGGGGUAUUAAUCCUUAGAAGAAAUGUUGAAAAAGGGCAAGUGCAAGAAAAGGAAAAAACGAUAAAUGUGUAGAAACAUCCGCUUCUACUGAAAAAAAAAUGAAGAAAAAAAUAUAGAGAGAAAUGAAGAAUAAGCACUUCCCUUAGAAAUAGACUCAUGCAUUAAUGUGAAUUUAAGUGAAAAAGAGUCAAGAUUGGAC
This 335-nucleotide long non-coding RNA is filed under the name Lathyrus oleraceus (garden pea). Its description in RNAcentral is "Pisum sativum (pea) long non-coding RNA (PSAT_LNC031032)". The record is from RNAcentral. Lineage: Eukaryota; Viridiplantae; Streptophyta; Magnoliopsida; Fabales; Fabaceae.